Molecule: unclassified non-coding RNA, 338 nt
Filed under: soil metagenome
Description: partial contains 5.8S ribosomal RNA, internal transcribed spacer 2, and large subunit ribosomal RNA
Rfam family: 5.8S ribosomal RNA (bases 1-120)
Source: RNAcentral
GAUGAAGAACGUAGCGAAAUGCGAUAAGUAGUGUGAAUUGCAGAAUUCAGUGAAUCAUCGAAUCUUUGAACGCACAUUGCGCCCCUCGGUAUUCCGUGGGGCAUGCCUGUUCGAGCGUCAUUUAACCCCUCAAGCCUAGCUUGGUAUUGGGUGCUUGUCCCGCCUCUCGCGCGGCGACUCACCUCAAAGUCAUUGGCAGCCCGCAUCUCGCCGGCCGUGAGCGCAGCACAGACGCGCUCUUGGCAACGACGGAUCGGCUCUCCAAAAGCUUAUUUCAACCACUGACCUCGGAUCAGGUAGGGAUACCCGCUGAACUUAAGCAUAUCAAAAGCGGAGGA